This 1428-nucleotide ribosomal RNA is filed under the name uncultured organism. RNAcentral's name for it is "partial small subunit ribosomal RNA". It matches the Rfam family "Bacterial small subunit ribosomal RNA". The record is from RNAcentral.
CACAUGCAAGUCGAACGGAAAGGCCCUGCUUUUGUGGGGUGCUCGAGUGGCGAACGGGUGAGUAACACGUGAGUAACCUGCCCUUGACUUUGGGAUAACUUCAGGAAACUGGGGCUAAUACCGGAUAGGAGCUCCUGCUGCAUGGUGGGGGUUGGAAAGUUUCGGCGGUUGGGGAUGGACUCGCGGCUUAUCAGCUUGUUGGUGGGGUAGUGGCUUACCAAGGCUUUGACGGGUAGCCGGCCUGAGAGGGUGACCGGCCACAUUGGGACUGAGAUACGGCCCAGACUCCUACGGGAGGCAGCAGUGGGGAAUAUUGCACAAUGGGCGGAAGCCUGAUGCAGCAACGCCGCGUGCGGGAUGACGGCCUUCGGGUUGUAAACCGCUUUCGCCUGUGACGAAGCGUGAGUGACGGUAAUGGGUAAAGAAGCACCGGCUAACUACGUGCCAGCAGCCGCGGUGAUACGUAGGGUGCGAGCGUUGUCCGGAUUUAUUGGGCGUAAAGGGCUCGUAGGUGGUUGAUCGCGUCGGAAGUGUAAUCUUGGGGCUUAACCCUGAGCGUGCUUUCGAUACGGGUUGACUUGAGGAAGGUAGGGGAGAAUGGAAUUCCUGGUGGAGCGGUGGAAUGCGCAGAUAUCAGGAGGAACACCAGUGGCGAAGGCGGUUCUCUGGGCCUUUCCUGACGCUGAGGAGCGAAAGCGUGGGGAGCGAACAGGCUUAGAUACCCUGGUAGUCCACGCUGUAAACGGUGGGUACUAGGUGUGGGGUCCAUUCCACGGGUUCCGUGCCGUAGCUAACGCUUUAAGUACCCCGCCUGGGGAGUACGGCCGCAAGGCUAAAACUCAAAGGAAUUGACGGGGCCCCGCACAAGCGGCGGAGCAUGCGGAUUAAUUCGAUGCAACGCGUAGAACCUUACCUGGGUUUGACAUGGAUCGGGAGUGCUCAGAGAUGGGUGUGCCUCUUUUGGGGUCGGUUCACAGGUGGUGCAUGGCUAUCGUCAGCUCGUGUCGUGAGAUGUUGGGUUAAGUCCCGCAACGAGCGCAACCCUUGUUCACUGUUGCCAGCACGUUAUGGUGGGGACUCAGUGGAGACCGCCGGGGUCAACUCGGAGGAAGGUGGGGAUGACGUCAAGUCAUCAUGCCCCUUAUGUCCAGGGCUUCACGCAUGCUACAAUGGCUGGUACAGAGAGUGGCGAGCCUGUGAGGGUGAGCGAAUCUCGGAAAGCCGGUCUCAGUUCGGAUUGGGGUCUGCAACUCGACCUCAUGAAGUCGGAGUCGCUAGUAAUCGCAGAUCAGCAACGCUGCGGUGAAUACGUUCCCGGGGCUUGUACACACCGCCCGUCAAGUCAUGAAAGUUGGUAACACCCGAAGCCGGUGGCCUAACCGUUGUGGGGGAGCCGUCGAAGGUGGGACUGGUGAUUAGGACUAAAUC